CUACCCUCCAGAACCAAAUUCCUACUACUUGUUGACAUUUCUCUGUUGUUAGCAGAGGCUGAGUGUAGCAUCUUUGCUAAGGUCAGUGAUUUACAGUAUGUACAUUCGGCAGAAUUGUUUUAUGCAGUGAUUAGAUUAAAGCUAACUUCAUCCUCUGAAUUAGCAGUGCUCUGCUUCAUCCAUAGAGGACUGCUGAGUCAGAUCACGAUGAACAAACACACACACACUCGACUGGACCUUGUGUGUCUUUCCAAAUCCAGAUACAUCAGCUAUGCCAAUUCUAAUCCUGCUCAGAGCGAACAUUUGAGAAGAAUUGGUGCCAUGACCUGGAGGGGUUGACUGUAACAGAGUCCAGCUAGUAAGUGCUUUGCAGGUAAACCUCACUCCUUUGAUCUCAAGAGAUGCACUAGCCACUGAAGCUAGGGGCCGCAGUGUUUGGCAUCCUUGUUAGCACUCCUGCCUCCCAUGGCAGAAAUGCCAUUUCAAAUUGCACUUGUGGUGAGUAGAAUCAAAGAGGUUACAUAAGAGGCUUCUGCACCAUGUAGUUCUAAUAAUUUUGGACUAGGAGCUAGCCAUCUUGGUGGUUCCUAGAAAACCAAUUUCUCCCUCUGUUUUUUUUUUUUUCUGGUUGCAUUCCCACCGGCAGGAGGGAUUCUGAAGCAGCUGACAGCAAUGUCUUUGUUUGAGGCGUUUAUGGAUGUUAACCGUUGAAUAGAGGACAUCGUGAUCGGAGCAGUUUCUAUUGCGUGUCGUGGGUCUCGUAAUAAUGGAGAUGGAAUGUAAACGCACAAUAUAUGCGAUUGAAAGGGCAUGAAAAUCUGACUGAAUCUCCUAUGACAAUUUGCAGUGUUGCAUAUCACAGUGGCUGAGAAAAGAACACAAUGCUGCACUAACAGGUUAAUAAAAUGUUUGUUUUUUUUAUACAUUUGGCCAAUCAAUGUACACUUACUGGUAAUUCCUAUAGAACUGUUUUAGACCCUACUCUGAAGCAGGAGCUAAUUUAGUUUCCCCCAAAUGGAUUUCCUAGAACUUAAAUUGUUCCUAGUUCCAGUGGUGCGAACACACCAAUAAAUGGGUACUUCCUCUAAUAGUUCUAGGAACUAUGAAAAGAUUCCCCUUGUGCGAAACCCCCUACUGACAUCAAGAAAAUAACUAUGACAUUAAUUAUAGAUGCACACAAUAACAUUCUGUUUAUCCUAAGUGCACUGUAGUUAUGCCAUUUACUGCUUAAAAUACAUUAGUUAAAAAGUAUCCAUUGCAUGAUCCCCUCUAGUGUAUAUGGUCUCAAAGCUCAUAGCUCAUCAUUUCAAUUGUGAUUUCAAAUUAUUUAUCUAAACAGCUGCAGUUGAAUAGCUUGAAUUAAAAGCGUUGAUGUAGCCAAAUAACCUUGCAAGGGUAAUUAGCUCACCUGUUAUGAGCAAAGCGAAGCAGAGAGACAGAGCGAUGGCAGAUAGAAACUCACUCAGUGGACUGUGUCUAAAAUAGACUCUCCCCACAGAUGCUUUGG
Carassius auratus (goldfish) is the source of this 1507-nucleotide long non-coding RNA. NCBI's taxonomy places the organism in Eukaryota, Metazoa, Chordata, Actinopteri, Cypriniformes, Cyprinidae. The record is from Ensembl.